This 714-nucleotide ribosomal RNA is filed under the name Priestia megaterium. Its description in RNAcentral is "bacterial SSU rRNA". It matches the Rfam family "Bacterial small subunit ribosomal RNA", at positions 57 to 753 of the family's 1533-position model. Lineage: Bacteria; Bacillati; Bacillota; Bacilli; Caryophanales; Bacillaceae. The record is from RNAcentral.
GCAGUCGAGCGAACUGAUUAGAAGCUUGCUUCUAUGACGUUAGCGGCGGACGGGUGAGUAACACGUGGGCAACCUGCCUGUAAGACUGGGAUAACUUCGGGAAACCGAAGCUAAUACCGGAUAGGAUCUUCUCCUUCAUGGGAGAUGAUUGAAAGAUGGUUUCGGCUAUCACUUACAGAUGGGCCCGCGGUGCAUUAGCUAGUUGGUGAGGUAACGGCUCACCAAGGCAACGAUGCAUAGCCGACCUGAGAGGGUGAUCGGCCACACUGGGACUGAGACACGGCCCAGACUCCUACGGGAGGCAGCAGUAGGGAAUCUUCCGCAAUGGACGAAAGUCUGACGGAGCAACGCCGCGUGAGUGAUGAAGGCUUUCGGGUCGUAAAACUCUGUUGUUAGGGAAGAACAAGUACAAGAGUAACUGCUUGUACCUUGACGGUACCUAACCAGAAAGCCACGGCUAACUACGUGCCAGCAGCCGCGGUAAUACGUAGGUGGCAAGCGUUAUCCGGAAUUAUUGGGCGUAAAGCGCGCGCAGGCGGUUUCUUAAGUCUGAUGUGAAAGCCCACGGCUCAACCGUGGAGGGUCAUUGGAAACUGGGGAACUUGAGUGCAGAAGAGAAAAGCGGAAUUCCACGUGUAGCGGUGAAAUGCGUAGAGAUGUGGAGGAACACCAGUGGCGAAGGCGGCUUUUUGGUCUGUAACUGACGCUGAGGCG